Non-coding RNA from Hydra vulgaris (swiftwater hydra), 402 nucleotides. The record is from RefSeq and is a predicted model, not a curated record. NCBI's taxonomy places the organism in Eukaryota, Metazoa, Cnidaria, Hydrozoa, Anthoathecata, Hydridae.
UCUUUAUGUACGUUUAUUUUUAAAUCAACCACUUAAAAACUAUACUACAGUUAUUUGAGGGAACAAGUAAAUGCUCAUUGGAGAGUGUUUGGCACGAUAUUCUUGGCAGCCAUUGCAACCAGGAUUUGAUCUAAAGCACAUAUUUUUGUUUGAUAAAGCCUUUAUUAUGUUAUAUAGUUUUAAAAUUUCCAUUAGACAAAAAGUAUGCUUAGCCGAAUGGUUAGCGCGCAAGGCUCUGAGGCAGGAAGUCUAGAUUCGAUUCCUAACUAUCGUUUUUUUUUUGUUUUUUUUAAUCAAGUUUAAUCUUUUUUGAUUUUUCUAAAAUACAAAGUAAAAUGUUUUUAAAGAAAAAAAUUUGUUUUAAAAGAAAGAAAAUUGUUUUGUUGUGCAUUGUAAAUACCA